GAGGGUAUAGCUCAGUGGUAGAGCACAUGCUUACCAUGCACGAGGUCCUGAGUUCAUUCCCCAGUACCUCCA
This 72-nucleotide transfer RNA is filed under the name Camelus bactrianus (Bactrian camel). It matches the Rfam family "tRNA". From Rfam's summary of the family: Transfer RNA (tRNA) molecules are approximately 80 nucleotides in length. Lineage: Eukaryota; Metazoa; Chordata; Mammalia; Artiodactyla; Camelidae. RNAcentral also lists the same sequence under 1 other name. The record is from Rfam by way of RNAcentral.